RNAcentral lists this ribosomal RNA (2923 nucleotides) under Klebsiella pneumoniae. RNAcentral describes it as "bacterial LSU rRNA". It matches the Rfam family "Bacterial large subunit ribosomal RNA". Lineage: Bacteria; Pseudomonadati; Pseudomonadota; Gammaproteobacteria; Enterobacterales; Enterobacteriaceae. The record is from RNAcentral.
GGGUUGUGAGGUUAAGCGACUAAGCGUACACGGUGGAUGCCCUGGCAGUCAGAGGCGAUGAAGGACGUGCUAAUCUGCGAAAAGCGUCGGUAAGGUGAUAUGAACCGUUAUAACCGGCGAUGUCCGAAUGGGGAAACCCAGUGCAAUUCGUUGCACUAUCGUUAACUGAAUACAUAGGUUAACGAGGCGAACCGGGGGAACUGAAACAUCUAAGUACCCCGAGGAAAAGAAAUCAACCGAGAUUCCCCCAGUAGCGGCGAGCGAACGGGGAGCAGCCCAGAGUCUGAAUCAGCUUGUGUGUUAGUGGAACGGUCUGGAAAGUCCGACGGUACAGGGUGAUAGUCCCGUACACCAAAAUGCACAGGCUGUGAACUCGAAGAGUAGGGCGGGACACGUGGUAUCCUGUCUGAAUAUGGGGGGACCAUCCUCCAAGGCUAAAUACUCCUGACUGACCGAUAGUGAACCAGUACCGUGAGGGAAAGGCGAAAAGAACCCCGGCGAGGGGAGUGAAAAAGAACCUGAAACCGUGUACGUACAAGCAGUGGGAGCACCUUCGGGUGUGACUGCGUACCUUUUGUAUAAUGGGUCAGCGACUUAUAUUCUGUAGCAAGGUUAACCGUAUAGGGGAGCCGCAGGGAAACCGAGUCUUAACUGGGCGUUAAGUUGCAGGGUAUAGACCCGAAACCCGGUGAUCUAGCCAUGGGCAGGUUGAAGGUUGGGUAACACUAACUGGAGGACCGAACCGACUAAUGUUGAAAAAUUAGCGGAUGACUUGUGGCUGGGGGUGAAAGGCCAAUCAAACCGGGAGAUAGCUGGUUCUCCCCGAAAGCUAUUUAGGUAGCGCCUCGUGAAUUCAUCUUCGGGGGUAGAGCACUGUUUCGGCUAGGGGGUCAUCCCGACUUACCAACCCGAUGCAAACUACGAAUACCGAAGAAUGUUAUCACGGGAGACACACGGCGGGUGCUAACGUCCGUCGUGAAGAGGGAAACAACCCAGACCGCCAGCUAAGGUCCCAAAGUCAUGGUUAAGUGGGAAACGAUGUGGGAAGGCACAGACAGCCAGGAUGUUGGCUUAGAAGCAGCCAUCAUUUAAAGAAAGCGUAAUAGCUCACUGGUCGAGUCGGCCUGCGCGGAAGAUGUAACGGGGCUAAACCAUGCACCGAAGCUGCGGCAGCGACACUAUGUGUUGUUGGGUAGGGGAGCGUUCUGUAAGCCUGCGAAGGUGUGCUGUGAGGCAUGCUGGAGGUAUCAGAAGUGCGAAUGCUGACAUAAGUAACGAUAAAGCGGGUGAAAAGCCCGCUCGCCGGAAGACCAAGGGUUCCUGUCCAACGUUAAUCGGGGCAGGGUGAGUCGACCCCUAAGGCGAGGCCGAAAGGCGUAGUCGAUGGGAAACAGGUUAAUAUUCCUGUACUUGGUGUUACUGCGAAGGGGGGACGGAGAAGGCUAUGUUAGCCGGGCGACGGUUGUCCCGGUUUAAGCAUGUAGGCUGAUUGUCCAGGCAAAUCCGGAUAAUCAAGGCUGAGGUGUGAUGACGAGGCACUACGGUGCUGAAGUAACAAAUGCCCUGCUUCCAGGAAAAGCCUCUAAGCAUCAGGUAACAUCAAAUCGUACCCCAAACCGACACAGGUGGUCAGGUAGAGAAUACCAAGGCGCUUGAGAGAACUCGGGUGAAGGAACUAGGCAAAAUGGUGCCGUAACUUCGGGAGAAGGCACGCUGGUGUGUAGGUGAAGUCCCUGCGGAUGGAGCUGAGACCAGUCGAAGAUACCAGCUGGCUGCAACUGUUUAUUAAAAACACAGCACUGUGCAAACACGAAAGUGGACGUAUACGGUGUGACGCCUGCCCGGUGCCGGAAGGUUAAUUGAUGGGGUUAUCCGUAAGGAGAAGCUCUUGAUCGAAGCCCCGGUAAACGGCGGCCGUAACUAUAACGGUCCUAAGGUAGCGAAAUUCCUUGUCGGGUAAGUUCCGACCUGCACGAAUGGCGUAAUGAUGGCCAGGCUGUCUCCACCCGAGACUCAGUGAAAUUGAACUCGCUGUGAAGAUGCAGUGUACCCGCGGCAAGACGGAAAGACCCCGUGAACCUUUACUAUAGCUUGACACUGAACAUUGAGCCUUGAUGUGUAGGAUAGGUGGGAGGCUUUGAAGCGUGGACGCCAGUCUGCGUGGAGCCAACCUUGAAAUACCACCCUUUAAUGUUUGAUGUUCUAACGUUGGCCCCUGACCGGGGUUGCGGACAGUGUCUGGUGGGUAGUUUGACUGGGGCGGUCUCCUCCCAAAGCGUAACGGAGGAGCACGAAGGUUAGCUAAUCCUGGUCGGACAUCAGGAGGUUAGUGCAAUGGCAUAAGCUAGCUUGACUGCGAGCGUGACGGCGCGAGCAGGUGCGAAAGCAGGUCAUAGUGAUCCGGUGGUUCUGAAUGGAAGGGCCAUCGCUCAACGGAUAAAAGGUACUCCGGGGAUAACAGGCUGAUACCGCCCAAGAGUUCAUAUCGACGGCGGUGUUUGGCACCUCGAUGUCGGCUCAUCACAUCCUGGGGCUGAAGUAGGUCCCAAGGGUAUGGCUGUUCGCCAUUUAAAGUGGUACGCGAGCUGGGUUUAGAACGUCGUGAGACAGUUCGGUCCCUAUCUGCCGUGGGCGCUGGAGAAUUGAGGGGGGCUGCUCCUAGUACGAGAGGACCGGAGUGGACGCAUCACUGGUGUUCGGGUUGUCAUGCCAAUGGCACUGCCCGGUAGCUAAAUGCGGAAGAGAUAAGUGCUGAAAGCAUCUAAGCACGAAACUUGCCCCGAGAUGAGUUCUCCCUGAGACUAUAAGUCUCCUGAAGGAACGUUAAAGACGAUGACGUUGAUAGGCCGGGUGUGUAAGCGCAGCGAUGCGUUGAGCUAACCGGUACUAAUGAACCGUGAGGCUUAACCUUACAACGCCGAAG